Molecule: ribosomal RNA, 2904 nt
Filed under: Enterobacter hormaechei subsp. steigerwaltii
Lineage: Bacteria; Pseudomonadati; Pseudomonadota; Gammaproteobacteria; Enterobacterales; Enterobacteriaceae
Description: 23S ribosomal RNA
Rfam family: Bacterial large subunit ribosomal RNA
Source: RNAcentral
GGUUAAGCGACUAAGCGUACACGGUGGAUGCCCUGGCAGUCAGAGGCGAUGAAGGACGUGCUAAUCUGCGAAAAGCGCCGGCGAGGUGAUAUGAACCUUUGACCCGGCGAUGUCCGAAUGGGGAAACCCAGUGCAAUCCGUUGCACUAUCGUUAACUGAAUACAUAGGUUAACGAGGCGAACCGGGGGAACUGAAACAUCUAAGUACCCCGAGGAAAAGAAAUCAACCGAGAUUCCCCCAGUAGCGGCGAGCGAACGGGGAGCAGCCCGGAGUCUGAAUCAGCUUGUGUGUUAGUGGAACGGUCUGGAAAGUCCGACGGUACAGGGUGAUAGUCCCGUACACGAAAGCACACUUGCUGUGAACUCGAAGAGUAGGGCGGGACACGUGGUAUCCUGUCUGAAUAUGGGGGGACCAUCCUCCAAGGCUAAAUACUCCUGACUGACCGAUAGUGAACCAGUACCGUGAGGGAAAGGCGAAAAGAACCCCGGCGAGGGGAGUGAAAAAGAACCUGAAACCGUGUACGUACAAGCAGUGGGAGCCUCUUUAUGGGGUGACUGCGUACCUUUUGUAUAAUGGGUCAGCGACUUAUAUUCUGUAGCAAGGUUAACCGUAUAGGGGAGCCGAAGGGAAACCGAGUCUUAACUGGGCGUUAAGUUGCAGGGUAUAGACCCGAAACCCGGUGAUCUAGCCAUGGGCAGGUUGAAGGUUGGGUAACACUAACUGGAGGACCGAACCGACUAAUGUUGAAAAAUUAGCGGAUGACCUGUGGCUGGGGGUGAAAGGCCAAUCAAACCGGGAGAUAGCUGGUUCUCCCCGAAAGCUAUUUAGGUAGCGCCUCGUGAACUCAUCUUCGGGGGUAGAGCACUGUUUCGGCUAGGGGGCCAUCCCGGCUUACCAACCCGAUGCAAACUACGAAUACCGAAGAAUGUUAUCACGGGAGACACACGGCGGGUGCUAACGUCCGUCGUGAAGAGGGAAACAACCCAGACCGCCAGCUAAGGUCCCAAAGUCAUGGUUAAGUGGGAAACGAUGUGGGAAGGCACAGACAGCCAGGAUGUUGGCUUAGAAGCAGCCAUCAUUUAAAGAAAGCGUAAUAGCUCACUGGUCGAGUCGGCCUGCGCGGAAGAUGUAACGGGGCUAAACCAUGCACCGAAGCUGCGGCAGCGACACUAUGUGUUGUUGGGUAGGGGAGCGUUCUGUAAGCCGUUGAAGGUGUGCUGUGAGGCAUGCUGGAGGUAUCAGAAGUGCGAAUGCUGACAUAAGUAACGAUAAAGCGGGUGAAAAGCCCGCUCGCCGGAAGACCAAGGGUUCCUGUCCAACGUUAAUCGGGGCAGGGUGAGUCGACCCCUAAGGCGAGGCCGAAAGGCGUAGUCGAUGGGAAACAGGUUAAUAUUCCUGUACUUGGUGUUACUGCGAAGGGGGGACGGAGAAGGCUAUGUCAGCCGGGCGACGGUUGUCCCGGUUUAAGCAUGUAGGCGGAGGUUCCAGGUAAAUCCGGUACCUUUUAACGCUGAGGUGUGAUGACGAGGCACUACGGUGCUGAAGUGAUAAAUGCCCUGCUUCCAGGAAAAGCCUCUAAGCAUCAGGUAACACGAAAUCGUACCCCAAACCGACACAGGUGGUCAGGUAGAGAAUACCAAGGCGCUUGAGAGAACUCGGGUGAAGGAACUAGGCAAAAUGGUGCCGUAACUUCGGGAGAAGGCACGCUGAUGUGUAGGUGAAGCCCCUGCGGGUGGAGCUGAAAUCAGUCGAAGAUACCAGCUGGCUGCAACUGUUUAUUAAAAACACAGCACUGUGCAAACACGAAAGUGGACGUAUACGGUGUGACGCCUGCCCGGUGCCGGAAGGUUAAUUGAUGGGGUUAGCGGCAACGCGAAGCUCUUGAUCGAAGCCCCGGUAAACGGCGGCCGUAACUAUAACGGUCCUAAGGUAGCGAAAUUCCUUGUCGGGUAAGUUCCGACCUGCACGAAUGGCGUAAUGAUGGCCAGGCUGUCUCCACCCGAGACUCAGUGAAAUUGAACUCGCUGUGAAGAUGCAGUGUACCCGCGGCAAGACGGAAAGACCCCGUGAACCUUUACUAUAGCUUGACACUGAACACUGGUCCUUGAUGUGUAGGAUAGGUGGGAGGCUUUGAAGCGUGGACGCCAGUCUGCGUGGAGCCAACCUUGAAAUACCACCCUUUAAUGGCUGGUGUUCUAACGUAGACCCGUAAUCCGGGUUGCGGACAGUGUCUGGUGGGUAGUUUGACUGGGGCGGUCUCCUCCCAAAGAGUAACGGAGGAGCACGAAGGUUGGCUAAUCCUGGUCGGACAUCAGGAGGUUAGUGCAAUGGCAUAAGCCAGCUUGACUGCGAGCGUGACGGCGCGAGCAGGUGCGAAAGCAGGUCAUAGUGAUCCGGUGGUUCUGAAUGGAAGGGCCAUCGCUCAACGGAUAAAAGGUACUCCGGGGAUAACAGGCUGAUACCGCCCAAGAGUUCAUAUCGACGGCGGUGUUUGGCACCUCGAUGUCGGCUCAUCACAUCCUGGGGCUGAAGUAGGUCCCAAGGGUAUGGCUGUUCGCCAUUUAAAGUGGUACGCGAGCUGGGUUUAGAACGUCGUGAGACAGUUCGGUCCCUAUCUGCCGUGGGCGCUGGAGAAUUGAGGGGGGCUGCUCCUAGUACGAGAGGACCGGAGUGGACGCAUCACUGGUGUUCGGGUUGUCAUGCCAAUGGCAUUGCCCGGUAGCUAAAUGCGGAAGAGAUAAGUGCUGAAAGCAUCUAAGCACGAAACUUGCCCCGAGAUGAGUUCUCCCUGAGACUUUAAGUCUCCUGAAGGAACGUUGAAGACGACGACGUUGAUAGGUCGGGUGUGUAAGCGCAGCGAUGCGUUGAGCUAACCGAUACUAAUGAACCGUGAGGCUUAACCUU